ACAUGCAAGUCGAACGAGAUUUUCGGAUCUAGUGGCGCACGGGUGAGUAACGCGUGGGAACCUACCUUUUAGUACGGGACAACGUUUGGAAACGAACGCUAAUACCGUAUACGCCCUCCGGGGGAAAGGUCAGCCGCUGAAAGAGGGGCCCGCGUCUGAUUAGCUUGUUGGUAAGGUAAUGGCUUACCAAGGCUACGAUCAGUAGCUGGUCUGAGAGGAUGAUCAGCCACACUGGGACUGAGACACGGCCCAGACUCCUACGGGAGGCAGCAGUGGGGAAUAUUGGACAAUGGAGGCAACUCUGAUCCAGCAAUGCCGCGUGUGUGACGAAGGCCCUAGGGUUGUAAAGCACUUUCAACGGUGAAGAUGAUGACGGUAGCCGUAGAAGAAGCCCCGG
Molecule: ribosomal RNA, 397 nt
Filed under: uncultured Pseudomonadota bacterium
Lineage: Bacteria; Pseudomonadati; Pseudomonadota
Description: bacterial SSU rRNA
Rfam family: Bacterial small subunit ribosomal RNA
Source: RNAcentral